This 506-nucleotide ribosomal RNA is filed under the name uncultured bacterium. RNAcentral's name for it is "partial 16S ribosomal RNA". It matches the Rfam family "Bacterial small subunit ribosomal RNA", at positions 29 to 523 of the family's 1533-position model. The record is from RNAcentral.
AGUGAACGCUGGCGGUAGGCCUAACACAUGCAAGUCGAACGGCAGCACAGGAGAGCUUGCUCUCUGGGUGGCGAGUGGCGGACGGGUGAGGAAUACAUCGGAAUCUACUCUGUCGUGGGGGAUAACGUAGGGAAACUUACGCUAAUACCGCAUACGACCUACGGGUGAAAGCAGGGGAUCUUCGGACCUUGCGCGAUUGAAUGAGCCGAUGUCGGAUUAGCUAGUUGGCGGGGGAAAGGCCCACCAAGGCGACGAUCCGUAGCUGGUCUGAGAGGAUGAUCAGCCGCACUGGAACUGAGACACGGUCCAGACUCCUACGGGAGGCAGCAGUGGGGAAUAUUGGACAACGGGCGCAAGCCUGAUCCAGCCAUACCGCGUGGGUGAAGAAGGCCUUCGGGUUGUAAAGCCCUUUUGUUGGGAAAGAAAUCCAGCUGGCUAAUACCCGGUUGGGAUGACGGUACCCAAAGAAUAAGCACCGGCUAACUUCGUGCCAGCCGCCGCCGUAA